This 484-nucleotide ribosomal RNA is filed under the name uncultured bacterium. RNAcentral's name for it is "partial 16S ribosomal RNA". It matches the Rfam family "Bacterial small subunit ribosomal RNA", at positions 30 to 507 of the family's 1533-position model. The record is from RNAcentral.
AUUGAACGCUGGCGGCAGGCCUAACACAUGCAAGUCGAGCGGAUGAAGGGAGCUUGCUCCUGGAUUCAGCGGCGGACGGGUGAGUAAUGCCUAGGAAUCUGCCUGGUAGUGGGGGAUAAUGUCCGGAAACGGGCGCUAAUACCGCCUACGUCCUGAGGGAGCAAGUGGGGGAUCUUCGGACCUCACGCUCUCAGAUGAGCCUAGAUCGGAUUAGCUAGUUGGUGGGGUAAAGGCCUACCUAGGCGACGAUCCGUAACUGGUCUGAGAGGAUGAUCAGUCACACUGGAACUGAGACACGGUCCAGACUCCUACGAGAGGCAGCAGUGGGGAAUAGGGGACAGUAGGCGAAAGCCUGAUCCAGCCAUGCCGCGUGUGUGAAGAAGGUCUUCGGAUUGUAAAGCCCGUUAAGUUGGGAUGAAGGGCAGUAAGUUAAUACCUUGCUGGUUUGACGUUACCAACAGAAUAAGCACCGGCUAACUUCGUG